This 400-nucleotide ribosomal RNA is filed under the name uncultured bacterium. Its description in RNAcentral is "bacterial SSU rRNA". It matches the Rfam family "Bacterial small subunit ribosomal RNA", at positions 356 to 773 of the family's 1533-position model. The record is from RNAcentral.
GGGGAAUAUUGGACAAUGGGGGCAACCCUGAUCCAGCAAUGCCGCGUGUGUGAAGAAGGUCUUCGGAUUGUAAAGCACUUUCGACGGGGACGAUGAUGACGGUACCCGUAGAAGAAGCCCCGGCUAACUUCGUGCCAGCAGCCGCGGUAAUACGAAGGGGGCUAGCGUUGCUCGGAAUGACUGGGCGUAAAGGGCGUGUAGGCGGUUUUGACAGUCAGAUGUGAAAUCCCCGGGCUUAACCUGGGAGCUGCAUUUGAGACGUCAAGACUAGAGUGUGAGAGAGGGUUGUGGAAUUCCCAGUGUAGAGGUGAAAUUCGUAGAUAUUGGGAAGAACACCGGUGGCGAAGGCGGCAACCUGGCUCAUUACUGACGCUGAGGCGCGAAAGCGUGGGGAGCAAAC